RNAcentral lists this long non-coding RNA (211 nucleotides) under Lathyrus oleraceus (garden pea). RNAcentral describes it as "Pisum sativum (pea) long non-coding RNA (PSAT_LNC010940)". Lineage: Eukaryota; Viridiplantae; Streptophyta; Magnoliopsida; Fabales; Fabaceae. The record is from RNAcentral.
GUCAAAUCGUCUCUAACCAAUAAUGAUAGGGAUCCCAUCAAAUUACACCAAUAAUGAUGUGGUCAUGGUUGACCAACUUAUCUUCAAAAAAGUUAUCUUAUCUCCGAAUAUGAGAACGAAUCAAAGAUAGACAAAAAAAAACAGUAGUUAACUCAUUUAUUCCUUAAGCUUGAAGAAACUAUGGGAGGGUUUAAGAAAGCUUAUAGUAAAA